GAUGAACGCUGGCGGCGUGCCUAAUACAUGCAAGUCGAGCGAACGGACGAGAAGCUUGCUUCUCUGAUGUUAGCGGCGGACGGGUGAGUAACACGUGGAUAACCUACCUAUAAGACUGGGAUAACUUCGGGAAACCGUAGCUAAUACCGGAUAAUAUUUUGAACCGCAUGGUUCAAAAGUGAAAGACGGUCUUUCUGUCACUUAUAGAUGGAUCCGCGCUGCAUUAGCUAGUUGGUAAGGUAACGGCUUACCAAGGCAACGAUGCAUAGCCGACCUGAGAGGGUGAUCGGCCACACUGGAACUGAGACACGGUCCAGACUCCUACGGGAGGCAGCAGUAGGGAAUCUUCCGCAAUGGGCGAAAGCCUGACGGAGCAACGACGCGUGAGUGAUGAAGGUCUUCGGAUCGUAAAACUCUGUUAUUAGGGAAGAACAUAUGUGUAAGUAACUGUGCACAUCUUGACGGUACCUAAUCAGAAAGCCACGGCUAACUACGUG
RNAcentral lists this ribosomal RNA (497 nucleotides) under uncultured bacterium. RNAcentral describes it as "partial 16S ribosomal RNA". It matches the Rfam family "Bacterial small subunit ribosomal RNA", at positions 28 to 507 of the family's 1533-position model. The record is from RNAcentral.